RNAcentral lists this ribosomal RNA (253 nucleotides) under uncultured bacterium. Its description in RNAcentral is "partial 16S ribosomal RNA". It matches the Rfam family "Bacterial small subunit ribosomal RNA", at positions 524 to 776 of the family's 1533-position model. The record is from RNAcentral.
UACAGAGGGUGCGAGCGUUAAUCGGAAUUACUGGGCGUAAAGCGUGCGUAGACGGUUAUCUAAGUCGGAUGUGAAAGCCCCGGGCUCAACCUGGGAACCGCGCUUGAGACUGGCACGCUCGAGUUCGGGAGAGGAUGGUGGAAUUCCCAGUGUAGAGGUGAAAUUCGUAGAUAUUGGGAAGAACACCGAUGGCGAAGGCAGCCAUCUGGACCGACACUGACGCUGAGGCGCGAAAGCGUGGGGAGCAAACAGG